RNAcentral lists this ribosomal RNA (417 nucleotides) under uncultured bacterium. RNAcentral describes it as "bacterial SSU rRNA". It matches the Rfam family "Bacterial small subunit ribosomal RNA", at positions 358 to 772 of the family's 1533-position model. The record is from RNAcentral.
GGAAUAUUGGUCAAUGGGCGCAAGCCUGAACCAGCCAUGCCGCGUGCAGGAUGACGGUCCUAUGGAUUGUAAACUGCUUUUAUACAGGAAGAAACACUCCCUCGUGAGGGAGCUUGACGGUACUGUAGGAAUAAGGAUCGGCUAACUCCGUGCCAGCAGCCGCGGUAAUACGGAGGAUCCAAGCGUUAUCCGGAAUCAUUGGGUUUAAAGGGUCCGUAGGCGGUCUAAUAAGUCAGUGGUGAAAUCCUUCCGCUUAACGGGAGAACGGCCAUUGAUACUGUUAGACUUGAAUUAUUAGGAAGUAACUAGAAUAUGUAGUGUAGCGGUGAAAUGCUUAGAGAUUACAUGGAAUACCAAUUGCGAAGGCAGGUUACUACUAAUGGAUUGACGCUGAUGGACGAAAGCGUGGGUAGCGAA